CGGACGAGAAGCUUGCUUCUCUGAUGUUAGCGGCGGACGGGUGAGUAACACGUGGAUAACCUACCUAUAAGACUGGGAUAACUUCGGGAAACCGGAGCUAAUACCGGAUAAUAUUUUGAACCGCAUGGUUCAAAAGUGAAAGACGGUCUUGCUGUCACUUAUAGAUGGAUCCGCGCUGCAUUAGCUAGUUGGUAAGGUAACGGCUUACCAAGGCAACGAUGCAUAGCCGACCUGAGAGGGUGAUCGGCCACACUGGAACUGAGACACGGUCCAGACUCCUACGGGAGGCAGCAGUAGGGAAUCUUCCGCAAUGGGCGAAAGCCUGACGGAGCAACGCCGCGUGAGUGAUGAAGGUCUUCGGAUCGUAAAACUCUGUUAUUAGGGAAGAACAUAUGUGUAAGUAACUGUGCACAUCUUGACGGUACCUAAUCAGAAAGCCACGGCUAACUACGUGCCAGCAGCCGCGGUAAUACGUAGGUGGCAAGCGUUAUCCGGAAUUAUUGGGCGUAAAGCGCGCGUAGGCGGUUUUUUAAGUCUGAUGUGAAAGCCCACGGCUCAACCGUGGAGGGUCAUUGGAAACUGGAAAACUUGAGUGCAGAAGAGGAAAGUGGAAUUCCAUGUGUAGCGGUGAAAUGCGCAGAGAUAUGGAGGAACACCAGUGGCGAAGGCGACUUUCUGGUCUGUAACUGACGCUGAUGUGCGAAAGCGUGGGGAUCAAACAGGAUUA
Molecule: ribosomal RNA, 727 nt
Filed under: Staphylococcus argenteus
Lineage: Bacteria; Bacillati; Bacillota; Bacilli; Caryophanales; Staphylococcaceae
Also listed under: 1 other name
Description: bacterial SSU rRNA
Rfam family: Bacterial small subunit ribosomal RNA
Source: RNAcentral